GAUGAACGCUGGCGGCGUGCCUAAUACAUGCAAGUCGAGCGAACAGACGAGGAGCUUGCUCCUCUGACGUUAGCGGCGGACGGGUGAGUAACACGUGGAUAACCUACCUAUAAGACUGGGAUAACUUCAGGAAACCGGAGCUAAUACCGGAUAAUAUAUUGAACCGCAUGGUUCAAUAGUGAAAGACGGUUUUGCUGUCACUUAUAGAUGGAUCCGCGCCGCAUUAGCUAGUUGGUAAGGUAACGGCUUACCAAGGCAACGAUGCGUAGCCGACCUGAGAGGGUGAUCGGCCACCCUGGAACUGAGACACGGUCCAGACUCCUACGGGAGGCAGCAGUAGGGAAUCUUCCGCAAUGGGCGAAAGCCUGACGGAGCAACGCCGCGUGAGUGAUGAAGGUCUUCGGAUCGUAAAACCCUGUUAUUAGGGAAGAACAAAUGUGUAAGUAACUAUGCACGUCUUGACGGUACCUAAUCAGAAGGCCACGGCUAACUACGUG
RNAcentral lists this ribosomal RNA (497 nucleotides) under uncultured bacterium. Its description in RNAcentral is "partial 16S ribosomal RNA". It matches the Rfam family "Bacterial small subunit ribosomal RNA", at positions 28 to 507 of the family's 1533-position model. The record is from RNAcentral.